UACGAAGGGGGCUAGCGUUGCUCGGAAUCACUGGGCGUAAAGGGUGCGUAGGCGGGUCUUUAAGUCAGGGGUGAAAUCCUGGAGCUCAACUCCAGAACUGCCUUCGAUACUGGGAGCUCGAGUCCGGGAGAGGUGAGUGGAACUGCGAGUGUAGAGGUGAAAUUCGUAGAUAUUCGCAAGAACACCAGUGGCGAAGGCGGCUCACUGGCCCGGUACUGACGCUGAGGUGCGAAAAGCGUGGGGGAGCAAACAGGG
RNAcentral lists this ribosomal RNA (255 nucleotides) under uncultured bacterium. RNAcentral's name for it is "partial 16S ribosomal RNA". It matches the Rfam family "Bacterial small subunit ribosomal RNA", at positions 524 to 777 of the family's 1533-position model. The record is from RNAcentral.